CGCUGCCUUGGUGACGCCCGCGGGCACUUUCUGUGCUCUUGAUCUGUUUUCCUAAAUACGUUAAUAAAUGAAAUGAAAGACAGAGAGGCUGGGGAAAAAAAAAAAAAAGAAAAAAGAAAAAAAAAGGACAGAGAAAACGAGCAGAUUUUGAUCUAGUAAGCAAUUUAAAUCUGGGCUGGCAAGCUGCAUUCGUUCAUUCAUUAAUUCAGUCGUGUGCUCAGAAAACCCCAGCAGGACUCCCUUCCAGUGCAAGAACUUCCGACUGUGAAAUAAACCCCGCGUAACCAGAUUAACUAUGAGCACUGGUGGGGAGCUGCCCCUCAUCAGGCAGCCCCUACCCACACCGCGGCAGAGAGGCUUUCUGCAGAGCGACGAGGCGAGCUGUGCUGAUCCGUGCGGCUGGCACGGAGGACGGCAACUGACCACCGCCAACAUGAGUAACGUGACGUGGUGUGAUGCAGUGAGAUAGGACGUGACGUGACGUGACAUGAACAACCAGCAGCUCAGGGACCUGUCUCCCCACCCAUCCUCUGCCUCUCCCUGCCCACCUGCCUGAGGAGAGGAGACAGGCAGGGCCUGGCUUCCCAAAGGGGCAGGACCCCCCCCAUGUCCAUCCAUGCCCCUCUCGCUGCUGCAAGCUAGCAUAUAUUUGGGUUUUAACUUUCGCUAGAAAGCACCCCUCCCCAGGAGAAGGACACACACACUUGAGCCCUCAAGGCUCUUUGAAAAAUCGAUCUUUCCCAAGCUGUACAAGAAGGAUCACUAAAACCUCCAGCCACUGCAUCUCACCGCCACGGUAGUAUUUUUUUUAAGCAAAUCCUCGCCUGACUGACAGAAGACAGAAAAAAAAAAAAAAGAGAGAAAGAAAAAAAGAAAAAAGUUCCUUGGGUGUUAUCCAUUUUGCAUGCACAUAAAAGAUGAACUUCCCUUUGGAAACAAAAUGCGCAGAGUUACGGUUUGAAAGGGGCCUCAAUUUGGCUUCGACCGGGUGCAACUAAUUGCGGCUGCGAGCGGCGGCAGGUGCGAGCAGGCAGCUGAGGCGCCCUCCCCCGCCCCUACCCCCCGCGGAGCCCCGGCCUCCCUGGGGAGGCAGCACGGGGAAACGGAGGCCGGGGGAGACGCCGAGGGGCGAGCGGGGGGUUUGCAGGGCCCGCUCGGCUGCUUUGUGCCUGAGCAUGGCAGGGCCCGAUGGCACCGUCUCCACUGGUGUCAGACGGUUCUGGAAGGCCUCGGAAGGUUCUAGAAGGCCUCCCUGGGCCAGGAGCUGUGGGCUGCUACAAAUGAUGAUCCCCAGGCCAACUUCACUCCAGGUGAAGGCUGCUUUUUAACUGAGAAGUGGUCGGGCACUGGGACAGGCUCCCCGGGGCAGUGGUCGCAGCACCGAGCCUGCCGCAGUUCAGGAAGCAUUUGGACAACGCUCUCACACAACCACAGCCAGGGGAGCGCAAAGCACACUUUGUCACUACCUU
RNAcentral lists this long non-coding RNA (1469 nucleotides) under Anser brachyrhynchus (Pink-footed goose). Its description in RNAcentral is "lncRNA (ENSABRG00000009590.1)". Lineage: Eukaryota; Metazoa; Chordata; Aves; Anseriformes; Anatidae. The record is from RNAcentral.